Molecule: non-coding RNA, 2156 nt
Organism: Pantherophis guttatus
Lineage: Eukaryota; Metazoa; Chordata; Lepidosauria; Squamata; Colubridae
Source: RefSeq, a predicted model, not a curated record
AUGACUCAGUCUGAAUCCCGUGAAAAGAGUCCAAGUAAUCCACUUCUACUUAUUUUAUUUUACUUUAUUUUUUAAGAGAUUUGCAUGACUGUCCAUAUUGAAGAAAUAAGAGAGUUGUGGGAGAGAGCAGGAGCCACAAUGGCCUGUCCUCAUUUUAGAAUUGUGGCUGAAGAUCUGUAGUUGGAGCCUGUCUGAGCUGGAGGAGCCAGGUGAGAGACAAGUUGCAAGGUUGAUUCCAGUCAAUGGGAAGGAGAGUUCAAGCCCUCAGCUCUUAUUAAGUGGUAUGAUGCAGGAUUUGGUGCUCUCCCCACUCCUAUUCAACAUCUAUAUGAGGCCCCAGGGUGAGCUCAUCCAUUGCCACGGAGUGAGAUCAUUAGCAUGCUGACAAUACUUAACUAUAUGUGUUUGACCCUGGCAAAUUAAAUGAUGCGUUGGAAGGUCUGGAUAUGGAAAAACAGGCUUCAGCUGAACCCUGGUGAGACUGAGUGACUUUUGGUUUUGCAGCCUGCCAGUUCCAAGAUUAUUCUACCUUUGAUGCUGGAUGAAGUUGCACUGCCCCAGAUAGGCCCAGUGUGCAAUAUGGGGGUCCUCCUGGAUUCGCAACUCUUGCUCGAAGAGUAGUGGCAGAUAUGUCUAGGAGGGCCAUUGAAUAGCUUUCUGUUAUUCACCAGUUGUGCCUGUUCCUGGAUUGGAGAGUUCUGCCACUCAUGCCAUAGUCAUCUUCUGAUUGGAAAACUCUAAUGUGAUGUACUUGAAGAGGGUCCAGAAGAGUGUGAUGCAGGCAGUUAUGUGUGUGCUUCUAGAACAACACAUUUCAUGUGUCUCAGCCAGUCCCUCCUAGAGUCCCCCCUAAAGCCCCCCUGGGGUGAAAUCCAGCAGGUUCUGACAGGUUCUGGAGAACCGGCAGCGGAAAUUUUGAGCAGUUCGGAGAACUGGCAAAUAUCACUUCUGGCUGGCCUCAGAGUGGGCUGGGAAUGGAGAUUUUGCAGUAUCCUUCCCCUGCCACGCCCACCAAGCCACGCCCACCAAGCCACACCACACCCACCAAGCCACGCCCACAGAAUCGGUAGUAAAAAAACUUGGAUUUCACCACUGCCCUAAAGGCCCCUGGAUGACAACAGCCACACCCUCACCCUUACUCUGAAGUUGCAGUUUAUGUCUCACUUGAAACUCCGAAGGGCAUUUUUCUGUGAGAGGACACCCCCUCUUUUCUGGCCACUGUGACUUGUUCAACAAGCUAUGAUUAAAACAAACCAUGGCUUAACCUGAUCCCUGAAUCCACUCAAUAUCUCUAUCUAAAUUAGAAGUUCCUGUAUUUUAUCCAGCAUUUCUUGAGGUAAGAGUCGGAAACAGAAACAAUACAGAAGAAAACAGCUAAUGUGCUGGUAAUCUUUUUUUCUUACAUCAGCAUUUCCCAGCUCAGUUCUUUCCAGAGAUAUUGAACUGUAAGCCUCAUAAUCCCCAAUCAGCCCUGUUGACUGGGGAUUAGGGAAACAGUAGUCGGAACCUCUGGAAGGCACACAAUUGGUCUAAAUUGCCAUUCAACCAUCCUAGAGACAGACGGCAAAGUGAGAUCAGGAAGAGGAGAGAUCAAAAUCGUAGCAGGGGGCCCUACUGAAAUGGGACACUUUGCUUCUGCGCAGCUGGAGUCAAAGAGGCCACAGAAUACUUUCAAACAAAGACCAGCUCAUCCAAUCAAAGACCAGAGGAGAGAGAGAGAGAGAGAAGAAAAGAAAAGAAAAAAAUUGUAGCUGUUUUCAUCUCACUUUGCUCUCUGUAGAAGAACUCUCAAAAGAAAAGGAGGUCCUUCAAAGGGAAAGGUGGCCUGAUAGGCUUUGCACUUCUCUCUUCUAGUAAUUGCUGGAUUUUUUUUUUCUCUGCAUAUGGGCAGAGAAAUGCAGACGAUGAGAAAUAAGGAGAUGAACCAUAGAAAAAAAGCAGUUUUCAGAAGCUGCAAAGGCCACAGAAGAGCAUUCUCUGAAGCUGCUGCAAGAAUGAAAGCCUCCUCCGAUCCAGAGUUGCCACAAGGGCCUGUCAACAGAAAAAGAACACCGCUUGUAGGGAAGCAGCUUGCAACAGAUCCUGGGAAUCACAUACACAAUUGGACUAUAUUUUUUAUUUUAAAAAUAUGAAUAUAUAAAGAAUUACUUCUCUUU